UAUAUGUUGAUUGUUGAUUUAUAGUUUAUUUUAUAUUGAGUAAAAUCUGCUUUGCUCAUUUCUUUCUAUUGAAUUUUUUGUUUUGUUCUUUUUGUUUUUUCUUUUCUUCUUUUUUAAGAUUAUCUUGGCUAUGUUUUUUGACUAUAUGCAUUUUCAUAUGCAUUUGAGAGCAAACUUGAAAUUUCCCUAAGGAAACUGGGAAUUCUGUUUAAGAUGGUAUCAAAUUU
Molecule: long non-coding RNA, 227 nt
Filed under: Callithrix jacchus (white-tufted-ear marmoset)
Lineage: Eukaryota; Metazoa; Chordata; Mammalia; Primates; Cebidae
Description: lncRNA (ENSCJAG00000075936.1)
Source: RNAcentral